AAGAUUGUCAUUGUAAUGGGCAAUGAAGGGUUACAAUUAGUACUAAAUGGGCAUUUCCCUUAUUUUUUCACAGGACCAUAUCCAUCGGAUGAUCAGGUUGAUGCUCUAUCAUCAGAUGACUCGUCUUCCUCAAACGCACAGAUCGAAGUCAUUACUGUGUAUAAUCAUAACAAGCAGUUAACAUCUGAAGGUGCUUUGAUGGGAAGGACAUAUCGAGGUGUAUCAGGACUACAUGAUACACCGCGUGGCUCUGUUAUUUUAUUUACCUGUAUAGAUGGGUUUAGGUCCGUUAAGCAACUUUAUGGACAACACCUCUGCAUUAUCUCACCAAUGUUCAGCGGAGGCAGUGGAACCAAUUGAGGAUAGGCAGUGAGGAGUGAGGACUGAUUGAGGCCCUUGAAUCCCAUCAUUCAUCCCUUUAAUGGCACCAUGCAGAGAGUAGGACUGCCAAGAAUUGGAUGCCAUCAAUGUCACAGAUUUAGAUGGGUUCCAAUCUUACAAAUGGUUGAAUUUGAAAAAUUAUAGACUUCAAGUAAGAAGAGCAAGCUUGGAAGUGGCAAUAGUCCAAGAGACGUGUGGCUGCUGGUGCCUACAAGCUUUUCUUGUUUUUGCAGUAAUAAAAUUCUG
This 627-nucleotide long non-coding RNA is filed under the name Fragaria vesca (wild strawberry). RNAcentral describes it as "long non-coding RNA (FVES_LNC002383)". Lineage: Eukaryota; Viridiplantae; Streptophyta; Magnoliopsida; Rosales; Rosaceae. The record is from RNAcentral.